AAUCAACGCUGGCGGCGUGCCUAACACAUGCAAGUCGAACGCGAAAGCCCCUUCGGGGGCAAGUAGAGUGGCGUCCGGGUGAGUAACACGUGGGUAAUCUACCUCCGGGUGGGGAAUAACUCGCCGAAAGGUGGGCUAAUACCGCAUAAUGCAGCGGCACCGAAUGGUGAUUAGUUGUUAAAAGCGGGGGACCUUAGGGCCUCGCGUCU
This 209-nucleotide ribosomal RNA is filed under the name uncultured bacterium. RNAcentral describes it as "partial 16S ribosomal RNA". It matches the Rfam family "Bacterial small subunit ribosomal RNA", at positions 32 to 238 of the family's 1533-position model. The record is from RNAcentral.